This 253-nucleotide ribosomal RNA is filed under the name uncultured bacterium. Its description in RNAcentral is "partial 16S ribosomal RNA". It matches the Rfam family "Bacterial small subunit ribosomal RNA", at positions 524 to 776 of the family's 1533-position model. The record is from RNAcentral.
UACGUAGGGGGCAAGCGUUGUCCGGAAUCAUUGGGCGUAAAGCGCGUGUAGGCGGCUCGAUAAGUCUGCUGUGAAAGUCCAGGGCUCAACCCUGGAAUGCCGGUGGAAACUGUCGGGCUAGAGUCCGGAAGAGGCGAGUGGAAUUCCUGGUGUAGCGGUGAAAUGCGCAGAUAUCAGGAGGAACACCGAUGGCGAAGGCAGCUCGCUGGGACGGUACUGACGCUGAGACGCGAAAGCGUGGGGAGCAAACAGG